RNAcentral lists this unclassified non-coding RNA (209 nucleotides) under Hevea brasiliensis (rubber tree). The record is from RNAcentral. Lineage: Eukaryota; Viridiplantae; Streptophyta; Magnoliopsida; Malpighiales; Euphorbiaceae.
AGGGAAGGAGGUAACCAAAGCCCAAGGUAAAGUAGAUUAUGUAGGCCAAAUGGAAUGAAUCCUUGGGGACUUUAUUGGGUAUGGCAGCAACGGGUUUAGUUUCCAGAAGGGAGGUUGAUUCCGAAUCUCCGUCGGUGAGACCCAUCGGAAAUUCAAACAGGCCGGCUCUAAGUAGAGUGAAACAAUUUGACGACCAAACCAGAUAAAGU